RNAcentral lists this unclassified non-coding RNA (239 nucleotides) under Melitaea cinxia (Glanville fritillary). RNAcentral describes it as "misc RNA ENSMCXG00005020319.1". Lineage: Eukaryota; Metazoa; Arthropoda; Insecta; Lepidoptera; Nymphalidae. The record is from RNAcentral.
UGAAACAUUCUUUGGAAUAUAAUCCUGACACUUUGCAGUAUCUUAGAAAAAUAUACAAUUUGGAUAGUCAAGAAAGAAUAGAUGAAGCUAUUGAUAUUUUAGUAAAAUGGAUUCAAAAACAGGAACACUUCGUUAAGAAGGAAUAUUGUAAACACUCGCUGGAAAGAUGUUUAUUGAGUAGUAAAGGUUCUAUAGAAAGGCUAAAGGAAAAAUUGGACAAAGUAGCUACUUUUAAAACU